AAAAGUCAAAAUAUUGACUUUUGACUAAGAAAAGUCAAAGUUUGACUUUUGACUAAGAAAAGUCAAAGUUUGACUUUUGACUAGAAAUAUCUAAUGACCAUUUUACCCUUGGACUAAGUUAGUGGGAAAAUCCAACAUUUUGUUGGAUAAUCCCACUAACUCUUAGUGGGAUAUGUGGCUAUAUGAGAUAUAGACACCUAGCCCACUAAGUUCCACUAAUUGUUAGUGGAACAUUAGGUGUUGAGAUUUGGCAAAUGAAUUGCAUGCAUUUUUGCAUGUAAUUAGGUUAUAAAUAGAGGUGUUUUCAAAUGUUGAAGGACUUUUGCCUCUUUUAUCAUUUUCAUCAUCUCAACAAAAGAAAAAAGAAAGCUUCCAAUCUCAUUUUAUCUCCAUUACUUUCUACACCAAAAUUGGGUCUCACAACCCGGUUCUUUGUCUAGAGGAUAGCAGUUGAGUACUAGUGGUGGUCUCGGUUAGAAUUGGUAAGAAUAUAUCGAACCUUUUGAAAGCUUCAAAGGUAAUAUUUCUUAAAACCCUAAUUUGAUUAGUUUAUGGUUAUAUGUUAAUUGUGGCAAUUAGGGUAGAAAUUCAAUUCUUUUUCCGCUGUGCAUGACUUAGUUCUAUCACGUUCGCCUUUUGUGGGCAAGAAACUUCGAGAUCACUCAGAAUCGGACCACGCAGUAGUUAGAUGUGAACUUUCGAGGCCUCUGACUCCGUUCUAUGUCCGACUGUUCCUUUCUAGGCCACCAUUGUGCCUUUCUUCGGCGUUUUGGGACGAAACCAAGAAACCGAGUCUGGGGCAUCACCGUUCGCCUUUUGUGGGCAAGAAACUUGGAGAUCACUCAGAAUCGGACCACCCAUGAGUUAGAUGUGAACUUUCGAGUCCUCCAACCCCGUUCUAAGUCCGACCGUUCCUUUCCUUUCUAGGCAACCAUUGGGCCUUUCUUCGACGUUUUGGGACAGAACCAAGAAACCGAGUCUGAGGCAUCACCCUUCGGCUUUUGUGGGUAAGAAACUUCGAGAUCACUCAGAAUCUGACCACCCAGUAGUUAGAUGUGAACUUUCGAGGCCUCCGACCCCGUUCUAAGUCCGGCCGUUCCUUUCUAGGCCACCAUUGUGCCUUUCUUCGGCGUUUUGGGACGGAACCAAGAAACCGAGUUUGGGGCAUCACCGUUCGCAUUUUGUGGGCAAGAAACUUCGAGAUAACUCAGAAUCGGACCACCUAGUAGUUAGAUGUGAACUUUCGAGGGCUCCACCCCGUUCUAAGUCCGGCCGUUCCUUUCAUUUCUAGGCCACCAUUGUGCCUUUCUUCGGCGUUUUGGGACGGAACCAAGAAACCGAGUCUGGGGCAUCACCGUUCGCAUUUUGUGGGCAAGAAACUUCGAGAUAACUCAGAAUCGGACCACCCAGUAGUUAGAUGUGAACUUUCGAGGGCUCCACCCCGUUCUAAGUCCGGCCGUUCCUUUCCUUUCUAGGCCACCAUUGUGCCUUUCUUCGGCGUUUUGGGACGGAACCAAGAAACCGAGUUCGGGGCAUCACCGUUCGCAUUUUGUGGGCAAGAAACUUCGAGAUAACUCAGAAUCGGACGACCCAGUAGUUAGAUGUGAACUUUCGAGGGCUCCACCCCGUUCUAAGUUCGGCCGUUCCUUUCCUUUCUAGGCCACCAUUGUUCCUUUCUUCGGCGUUUUGGGACGUAACCAAGAAACCGAGUCUGGGGCAUCACCGUUCAGCUUUUAUGGACAAGAAACUUCGAGAUCACUCAGAAUCGGACCACCCAGUAGUUAGAUGUCACAGAACCAUCUAUUGAUGCACCUAGAGAUCCAUUAUACAAGUCUGAAAAGGAGGUUCUUAAGGUAAGGUUGGACUUAAGAAUUUGAUGAUUGUUCACUCUAUUUUUCUAUUUCUAGUGAAAGUGAUGAUAAUUUAAUGGACUAUUCGAUUUCUUUGUAAAUCCGAGUAUAGGUUUCGCUGCGAUACGUUAGAAUAGAAGUAACUAGCAUAUACAUACAAAGUGACGUUCAUUGACUCAACGACGUUUGAAAUUUAAGAAUAUUAUGGCUGUUGGAGCAUCCAUUGAAGGAUGGAAAUAUUGUAGACCCAACAUAUCGGUUGACGACACUUUUUUGAAAUCUAAAUAUGGUGGAACUCUUUUGACGGCUUCAACAAUUGAUGGUAAUAAUCAAAUUUUUCCAUUGGCCUUCAGUAUUGUAGAUUCCGAAAAUGAUGAAUCCUGGAGAUGGUUUUUUGAGAAUAUAAAGAAAAGUUUAGGGGAUCGGGAAGGUUUAGUUGUAAUAUCUGAUCGACAUUUAAGUAUUCCAAAAAGUGUUCAUAACGUUUUUCCAAAUGCUGAAUAUUGUGUUUGUUUGCAACAGCUUCUAAAAAGUUUGAAGUUGAUGUAUAAGGACCCUAUAAUUGAUAAGCUCUUUUUUAGAUGUGGAAAAGCAUAUACUGUUGUUGAUUUUGAGACUAAUAUGAAAUGGAUGGAGUCUAUGUAUCCUAGUAUACGAGACUAUCUUAGUAAGGUUGGUUUUGAAAAGUGGGCUCGAGUAUAUUUUACAAAGAAAAGAUAUCAAAUGAUGACUACAAACAUUUCAGAAAGCUUAAAUUCAGUUCUAAAAGAAUCUAGAGAUUUGCCUGUUGCAACAUUACUCGAUUCUAUCAGGCAAAUACUUCAAAAUUGGUUUUAUGAUCGAAGAAAAGUUGCAUGUUGUAUGAGAACUAUUUUAACUAGUUGGGCUGAGGGAGAAUUACGUAUGCAACAUCAAAACUCAAGAAGCUUCACAGUAAGUUUUUGUGUUUUAAUGUUUAUUUACUUAAUUAGUGAGUAAUAUAACAAGACCUAUCAAUGAUAGAUUUUAUCACCGAUAGAUUCUUAUUAUGCAUCAGUGAUAGAUUCUAUCAAUGAUAGAUCAUAUGUGUUGACUAAGUUUGUUCUUUUUUUCUUUUCAGGUUAAUGCUAUUAAUGAUGUUGAAUUUCAAGUGAUUGAUGGAAGAAAACAAUUUAUGGUACAUUUAAAUUGCAAAUCAUGUACCUGUCGCGUUUGGGAUCUUGAUGAAAUUCCAUGCGCUCAUGCACUUGCUGUUCUUCGUGGAUGCAAUAUGAAUACUUACUCUUUUGUUUCCAAUUAUUUUUUGUCAAGCACUUUGGUUUUAGCUUAUACUGGAUUAGUUCGUCCAGUUGGGAACCAUUCUAAUUAGAAAUCUAUUGGGGUUGACAUGAACAUACUUCCUCUAGUUUUCAAGAGUCGAGCUGGAUGACCACGAAAACAGAGAACAUUAUCAAUUGGCGAGAAGAAAAGUCAACCAAAAUGCAAUCAUUGUCGUCGUGCUGGUCACAAUCGUAGAAAUUGCAAAUUUUCACCAUUUUUACAAUGAUAUGACAUU
RNAcentral lists this long non-coding RNA (3384 nucleotides) under Cucumis sativus (cucumber). RNAcentral describes it as "long non-coding RNA (CSAT_LNC000180)". The record is from RNAcentral. Lineage: Eukaryota; Viridiplantae; Streptophyta; Magnoliopsida; Cucurbitales; Cucurbitaceae.